GUGGGGAAUCUUCCGCAAUGGACGAAAGUCUGACGGAGCAACGCCGCGUGAGUGAAGAAGGUUUUCGGAUCGUAAAGCUCUUUCGUUAGGGACUAACGUGCUCUUUGUGAAUAAUGAGGAGUAAUGACGGUACCUAAAUAAGAAGCCACGGCUAACUACGUGCCAGCAGCCGCGGUAAUACGUAGGUGGCAAGCGUUGUCCGGAAUUAUUGGGCGUAAAGUGCGCGCAGGCGGGAUAUCAAGUCUGUCGUAAAAGUGCGAGGCUCAACCUCGUGAGGGGACAGAAACUGGUAUUCUUGAGUGUCGGAGAGGAAAGUGGAAUUCCAAGUGUAGCGGUGAAAUGCGUAGAGAUUUGGAAGAACACCAGUGGCGAAGGCGACUUUCUGGACGAUGUCUGACGCUGAGGCGCGAAAGCUAGGGGAGCGAACGGGAUUAGAAACCCGUGUAGUCC
RNAcentral lists this ribosomal RNA (450 nucleotides) under uncultured bacterium. RNAcentral's name for it is "partial 16S ribosomal RNA". It matches the Rfam family "Bacterial small subunit ribosomal RNA", at positions 354 to 796 of the family's 1533-position model. The record is from RNAcentral.